RNAcentral lists this long non-coding RNA (3090 nucleotides) under Orbicella faveolata. RNAcentral's name for it is "uncharacterized LOC110062632". Lineage: Eukaryota; Metazoa; Cnidaria; Anthozoa; Scleractinia; Merulinidae. The record is from RNAcentral.
AUAAGGAGAUUCCUGCUCACAGGCGCUCAAGAAUGCAGCUGAGAGGAAAACCUCUUCAUUUUGAUUCAUAUGGAAACAUUUGCUACGCAGGGUAAAUGACUUUCUUUUAAAAGAAGGUAAUGAGAAUUUUGAGUGAGUGGUGCAUUUAACCAUAUUUUUCAGUGCAUGAGAACUUAAACAGUGCUCUUAAAAACUUACAGAAAAAUACUAAAAUCUUCAAACCUAGCAUGUACACACAAUGUUGUUAGUGCAGGGAUGAAUAUUGCAAAAAUAUGGCUUUGCUUGUACUUUAUGGGCUGUGUAAGGUUUGCAUGGUAUUGUGGUAAAAUGUACAACUACCAUCUCUUUUCUUGCAGAGGAUUACAAACUAAUUUUAAUCUGAGAAUAUUAUUUCUUACAGUGCUGGGGUUGGAAGAACAGGUUGUUUCAUUGCAGCUAGUAUAGGAAUUGAGCAAAUAAAGAGAGAAGGACUUGUGGACAUUCUCAAGAUAGUAAGCCUUAUGAGAAUAGACAGGGGCGGAAUGGUGGAAACAGAUUUACAGUAUGAACUUGUAUACCAUACACUUCAUCAUUAUUGGACAACAUAUACAGGCAGUGAUGAUGAUACACGUGACAUAGCCCUUGAAGCAAUCUUUGAUGAAUAAUCCGUGGUGAAUAUUAACAUACAACAGUUGCAUCAUAUAAUUCCUUCAUGCUGGUCAUGGGAAGAUGAUAUUAUAUUACAAGUCUAGUCUGUUAGUCAUUUAUCAAGUAUGGACUGUGGAUAAUUCAAUAGACAUCAAUAUUUAUCGCCUACAAGAUUAUUCAAGGUGCCCAUUGGCAAGAUGCUAUUUAUUUCAGUAUUUUAAUGUACAUGUGUGGAUUAUUAUUUAAUGCAUAAUGCAGUCAUGGGAACAUGCUUCAUGAAUCGUAAUUAUCAAUGACAUGGUUUAAACAAGGCAAGACUACCAAGAUUGUGUUUUGAGGAGUCUUUCUUAAUUGACAUCAAUCAGCAAGUCCAGAAUGAGUGGGACAUACCAGGCCAGUUGAGAGACGUGCAAGUAUUUGAUGUUUAGUUUAGUUUUGACACAUCCCUUGCAGGACAAGGGAUCAAGAAUGAGCUGUUGGUGACAAAGAAUGGAAAGAAAUUAUGUAUUCAAGAAACUAGACAAUUGAAAUCAUCAUUGGUGAUUGCAUGUCCGUGAUUCAUUUAUGGAUGACUUGGGGAUUUCUGGUUGUAAAGAGUACAAGACUGGUGGUGACAAUGUGAAGGAUGAGAAGGAGCGAUCAUUCAAACAUCACCUUACUACCUUAAACCAUUUACUUCCAUAAGCGAAGUUGGAUAAGAUUGUGCUAUUAAUAGUACCUUGUCGUUGGUGCUAAACAGUUCCAUAAAAGUGGAAUAUUUGUUGUUCAAAGGAAUGGGAAUGGAAAAGGAUGGCUGAAAUAGGAAGCUGGUUAGAGAUGAGAUCUUGGAAUAUUAUUAACGUUAUUUUCACCAUUCUUUGAAGGGAAACAAGGGAUUGCUAGUGCUUUGGAUAGUGUUUUGCAGUCUGAUUUGAGCAUUUAUUUUGCCACCAAAGCAAGUGAGGAUUUAAGGAAAUCUCAAUUUAUUUGCCAGGAAUCUUGGCAUAAAGAAAUGUUUUAUUUUUCAGUUUUACUGCAUGGGCCCUUAUUAAAAUUGGGACAAUUAUCAAAUUAUAAAAAAAAAUUAUCUUAUGUCUUUUUAGACAGGCAAUAUUGAGCAUGAAAAUGUCUUCAAUUUGAGAAAUUAUUUCAAAGUAUUUAUCAAAAAUAAUUGUACAGAAUUGUUAUUGAGGGAUUUUAUGAAAUUCUUCUAUAGAUAUUUAAUCCACAAGCAGAGAUAUGUUACAAGUUAUUACACAAGAUUGUGAAGGAAAGUUACUUAAGUUAUUUGGAAUAUUGUGUGUACAUAAUAAUCAGGUGUGCUGCAUCAAAGUGAAAACUUGGCCUGUUCCAACUAAUGUUUUGAGUCGGAUAUUAAUCUAAUGUAUAUUUUAAUCAUGCGCAUUGCAAGCCUAAGUUCUGCUCUGUUAUCUAACAACAAUGUGGUUGAAAAUUCCAUGUGGCUGCAAUCUACAACUCCUCAUCUUGGAUCUUUAUUUUCUUGUUGAAGGAGAAGGAAAGGAAUUGUCCUGGAACCAGGACAAUAAUUUUUAAGUGUAACAUCAUCAGCGUGAAGUUUCCCAGUUUGGCGCUUGAAAACAACUUGACAGGGGCGGAUCCAGGAUUGUGUUUUUUAGGAGGGUGCACCACUAGCGAAUAGCAUAACUGACUGGUGAGGGAAACAAAUUUUAAAAGCGAAUACAAGGAAGAAGGCUUCAUCUCAAGGGGAGGGGGUCGCACACCUUCUGCACCCUCCUCCUAGAUCCACCCCUCUUUGAGCAGGGAACAAGGUGAUGUGUUUUCUCAAGCUGACUCACCCAUAGUUUGUUACCCAACUUGUUUGUACAUGGGGUGUCUCCGACAGGUGUUGUAAUGUGUUAUUAUCAAAGGCACAAGUCCCAGGGGAAUACUUACCUGCAUUGCAGGGGAGGGGUAAGGCAAAAAGGGACUCCUCUCCUAGUCCCCCUUCUCCCACCCCUGCACUCCAUCCCUCCAUCCUCCAUCUCUAGUUUUCAGGCUAGGGGAAACCACCUGAUGGUUAAUUAAAUCAACAAUCCAUGAUUAGUUUUGUUGAUUUUCAAUGAAAGUUCCUAUACAUCUGACCAACAACACUCGAGUUUGUAGUUAAAUACUCUAACUGUAAAUAUUUUUCUAAGCAACUUGUAAGAUAUUGACGCAUUUCAACUGCUUUGUAUAUGGCGUUUAUUGAGGGAAAAGAUCUCUCUUCCGAAAACCAUGUUUUCACCUUGAUGCAGCAAUCAAGAAUUUUAAUCCAGGGCAGGUUCUGGAAAUGUUUCAAGUUACACGAAUUUCCUUGAAGCAGAUUAUUCUAGUGAGAGAUUCACGCUUUUGUUGAAAUAUUACCAGUUAUACUUACACAUUACCUUAGUUACCAUGUAACUAGGCAGCGACUGUCGAGGAAAACGGGUUCUACGCACAUGGUGCGAGCAGGAAUAAAAUCUCAGACAACUUGAUGUUAUAGUA